GACGAACGCUGGCGGCGUGCCUAAUACAUGCAAGUAGAACGCUGAAGGAGGAGCUUGCUUCUCUGGAUGAGUUGCGAACGGGUGAGUAACGCGUAGGUAACCUGCCUGGUAGCGGGGGAUAACUAUUGGAAACGAUAGCUAAUACCGCAUAAUAGUAGAUGUUGCAUGACAUUUGCUUAAAAGGUGCAAUUGUAUCACUACCAGAUGGACCUGCGUUGUAUUAGCUAGUUGGUGAGGUAACGGCUCACCAAGGCAACGAUACAUAGCCGACCUGAGAGGGUGAUCGGCCACACUGGGACUGAGACACGGCCCAGACUCCUACGGGAGGCAGCAGUAGGGAAUCUUCGGCAAUGGACGGAAGUCUGACCGAGCAACGCCGCGUGAGUGAAGAAGGUUUUCGGAUCGUAAAGCUCUGUUGUAAGAGAAGAACGAGUGUGAGAGUGGAAAGUUCACACUGUGACGGUAUCUUACCAGAAAGGGACGGCUAACUACGUG
Molecule: ribosomal RNA, 495 nt
Filed under: uncultured bacterium
Lineage: Bacteria
Description: partial 16S ribosomal RNA
Rfam family: Bacterial small subunit ribosomal RNA
Source: RNAcentral